UACGGGGGGGGCAAGCGUUGUUCGGAAUUACUGGGCGUAAAGGGCUCGUAGGCGGCCAACUAAGUCAGACGUGAAAUCCCCAGGCUCAACCUGGGAACUGCGUCUGAUACUGGAUGGCUUGAAUCCGGGAGAGGGAUGCAGAAUUCCAGGUGUAGCGGUGAAAUGCGUAGAUAUCUGGAGGAAUACCGGUGGCGAAGGCGGCAUCCUGGACCGGCAUUGACGCUGAGGAGCGAAAGCUAGGGGAGCAAACGAG
This 253-nucleotide ribosomal RNA is filed under the name uncultured bacterium. RNAcentral describes it as "partial 16S ribosomal RNA". It matches the Rfam family "Bacterial small subunit ribosomal RNA", at positions 524 to 776 of the family's 1533-position model. The record is from RNAcentral.